This 374-nucleotide ribosomal RNA is filed under the name uncultured bacterium. Its description in RNAcentral is "bacterial SSU rRNA". It matches the Rfam family "Bacterial small subunit ribosomal RNA", at positions 521 to 896 of the family's 1533-position model. The record is from RNAcentral.
UAAUACGGAGGGUGCAAGCGUUAUCCGGAUUUACUGGGUUUAAAGGGUGUGUAGGCGGACUUUUAAGUCCGUGGUGAAAUCUCCGGGCUCAACCCGGAAACUGCCAUGGAUACUAUUUGUCUUGAAUAUUGUUGAGGUGGGCGGAACGGGUCAUGUAGCGGUGAAAUGCAUAGAUAUGACCCGGAACACCGAUUGCGAAGGCAGCCCACUAAGCAAUGAUUGACGCUGAGGCACGAAAGCGUGGGGAUCAAACAGGAUUAGAUACCCUGGUAGUCCACGCCCUAAACGAUGAUUACUCGACGUUGGCGAUACACUGAUCAGCGUCCAAGCGAAAGCAUUAAGUAAUCCACCUGGGAAGUACGUUCGCAAGAAUG